CCUACGGGAGGCAGCAGUGAGGAAUAUCGGUCACUGGGUGAGAGCCUGAUACAGCCAUGCCGCUUGCGGGAAGACGGCCCUAUGGGUUGUAAACUGCUUUUAUACAGGAACAAACCACCUUACGAGUAGGGUGUUGAAGGUACUGCAUGAAUAAGCACCGGCUAACUCCGUGCCAGCAGCCGCGGUAAU
Molecule: ribosomal RNA, 189 nt
Filed under: uncultured bacterium
Lineage: Bacteria
Description: partial 16S rRNA
Rfam family: Bacterial small subunit ribosomal RNA
Source: RNAcentral